CGCCUCCAGGCCAGUUGCGUGAGAAUCCCCUCGCAAACAAGUCCAUUCUCUCGGCGAUAAUUUCUCUUUUCCUGUAGAAGCUAGUUUCCCCUUUAAAUUGAUAGAAUGCGUAUUCUUUGUGGAAUUAUAGCGGCGUGUAUGGUUCUUAUCUUGUCGCAUCAAACCCUCGCUGCGGACAAGAAAGACACAAAGAAGCUGCAGAUCGGCGUAAAGAAGAGGGUGGCAGACUGUAAAACGAGAUCGAAGAGUGGUGAUACGCUUCACAUGCAUUACACUGGUACACUAAAAGACGGCACACAAUUUGAUAGCAGCAUUCCAAGAGGAGAACCAUUUGUGUUCACAUUAGGAGUAGGACAAGUUAUCAAAGGAUGGGAUCAAGGACUACUAAAUAUGUGUGAGGGAGAAAAGAGGAAACUUGUAAUUCCAUCAGACCUUGGCUAUGGAGACAGUGGAGCCCCUCCUAAGAUCCCGGGUCUGCAGCUUUAGCUCAAGAUUACAAACAAUUAGUCAUGUGAUUCUUGUCACAUGCACCCUUUUAAGAACAAUGAUCAGCCAGAAGAAUUUGGGGGCGCUACACUGGUAUUUGAGGUUGAGCUGUUAAAGAUAGAGCGAAAAACAGAAUUGUAAUCAGAUCUUGAACGCUUUAUUGUGUGAAGAUCUUUUGAUAUUUUUUAAAAAUAAAAUUUUCUCUUAAGAAAAUCACUGUAUAUUGUCAGUGUCUGUUCAUGUUACGUGCAAUUUAGACUUCUUUAUUUUUAUUUAAUCUUUAGAAUUCCGGGGAGGGACGGUUUUUGAUCAUCGAGAACGUGUUUUUAGAUUUUGUGGGUGAAAUAUUUAUCGCUUUUUUAGGCGUGCCUCUAACACAGAAUCUAUAAUCAAUAGCCUCCUUUUAGCGAGAAAAUAUGCACGGCACGGUUAUAUAUCUAGGAACAUUCUCUUUGUGAUCUUGUUCACAUUUGUUAACUCACUUAUUUCAAAAAUGUGCCAGUCGAAGGUAAUUAAGGCGAAAAAGUCAUUAUUCACAUUAUGAUCUUUACGUAAGGAAGGAAUGUCCCAGGAGGAAGUAGAUCACCUUUUUAAUGCUAUAGUUUUACCAAAUUUUUCUUAUGACCUGCCGGUUUAUGGUGCCUCAGACUCCGACCUUUCUAUAAUUCAGAAUUUUUUGGACCGGUGUUUGAAAAGGAAGUUUAUGUCCAAGAAUGUAGGUAUCAGGGAUUUGCUAGAGAGGGCGGACAAGGCACUCUACAAAAAAAUAUCGAAUGACCCCGAAUGCCCGUUUUUCCAGUUUUUACCUAAGGAAAAGAACAUGAGGUACAAUCUUAGAAAUACGUCAGUCUCUGUCCCUAGAAU
RNA transcript from Stylophora pistillata, 1350 nucleotides. It is a transcript of the gene named peptidyl-prolyl cis-trans isomerase FKBP2, with no coding region annotated. The record is from RefSeq and is a predicted model, not a curated record. NCBI's taxonomy places the organism in Eukaryota, Metazoa, Cnidaria, Anthozoa, Scleractinia, Pocilloporidae.